UGGGAUCUUAUGUACUUUUAUA
This 22-nucleotide microRNA is filed under the name Heligmosomoides polygyrus. RNAcentral's name for it is "hpo-miR-10065b-3p". Lineage: Eukaryota; Metazoa; Nematoda; Chromadorea; Rhabditida; Heligmosomidae. The record is from miRBase by way of RNAcentral.